RNAcentral lists this signal recognition particle RNA (96 nucleotides) under Amoebophilaceae bacterium. Its description in RNAcentral is "signal recognition particle sRNA small type". It matches the Rfam family "Bacteroidales small SRP", at positions 9 to 102 of the family's 107-position model. Rfam says of the family: The non-coding component of the signal recognition particle in Bacteroides Lineage: Bacteria; Pseudomonadati; Bacteroidota; Cytophagia; Cytophagales; Amoebophilaceae. The record is from RNAcentral.
AGCAAGCCGAUACGGUCAGCUCCUGCUUAACUCCCCCAGGUCUGGAAGGAAGCAAGGGUAGGGUGGUUGUAGCGGCGCGAUAUUCGGCUUGUUUUU